CUGGAGCGAAAGGAUUCGAACCUUUGAUUGUCGGACUCAAAUUCAGAUGCCUUACCUCUUGGCUACGCUCCA
RNAcentral lists this transfer RNA (72 nucleotides) under Jaagichlorella hainangensis. RNAcentral describes it as "tRNA-Gln". The record is from RNAcentral. Lineage: Eukaryota; Viridiplantae; Chlorophyta; Trebouxiophyceae; Watanabeales; Watanabeaceae.